GACGAACGCUGGCGGCGUGCUUAACACAUGCAAGUCUAACGGAAAGGCCCUUCUUUUGUGGGGUUCUCGAGUGGCGAACGGUUGAUUAACACUUUAGUAACCUUCCCUUUACUUUUGGUUAACUUCAGGAACCUUGGGCUAAUACCGGAUCGGAUCUCCUGCUGCCUGGUGGGGUUUGGACCUUUUCGGCUGUUGCGGAGGGACUCGCGCCUUAUCAGUUUUUUGGUGGGGUAGUGGCUUACCAAGGCUUUGACUGGUAGCCGGCCUGAGAGGGUGACCGGCCACAUUGGGACUGAGAUACGGCCCAGACGCCUACGGGAGGCAGAAGUGGGGAAUAUUGAACAAUGGGCGGAAGCCUGAUGCAGCAACGCCGCGUGAGGGAUGACGGCCUUCGGGGUGUAAACCGCUGUCGCCUGUGACGAAGCGUGAGUGACGGUAAUGGGUAAAGAAGCACCGGAGAACUAAGUG
RNAcentral lists this ribosomal RNA (468 nucleotides) under uncultured bacterium. RNAcentral describes it as "partial 16S ribosomal RNA". It matches the Rfam family "Bacterial small subunit ribosomal RNA", at positions 28 to 507 of the family's 1533-position model. The record is from RNAcentral.